Long non-coding RNA from Prionailurus viverrinus (fishing cat), 2194 nucleotides. RefSeq lists it as uncharacterized. The transcript is spliced from 5 exons. Lineage: Eukaryota; Metazoa; Chordata; Mammalia; Carnivora; Felidae. The record is from RefSeq and is a predicted model, not a curated record.
UGUUCAGUGAACAGGAGAUGCUCUUGUGUGAUUGGAUGUGUGCUACUCCAGGAAUUUUAGGCCAAAGAACAUUUCUUGGCCCUUGGAAGUUCAUGCCAGUCUGAAGGUACUAAAAAGCUCGUGAUAGCCUGAUAAAGGAAGAAGAUGCACGCACCUCACCAAGAGUUCCGGCUUACAGAUGGCUCGUAAUCUCCCCCAGAGUGCGAUCAAGAGCUCCUGUCCUGCCCUAGGACCUCAACCCUGACAGUCGAUCUCUGAUGUAACUCAGCUUCAUGAUAAGGAGCAUCUGACAGCCAGAUGACAAGAUUGUCCAGUUUUGUCCAAGUAUGUAUGAGAUUGAUCAUUAACCAGGCAACAAAUUCAAUCUGCCCCAGCGACAUGGUUGUCCAAGUCGUGUGGUCAAGCCCGAUCAUCCCUGAAGUGUGUUUGAAGAUGGAACCUGAGGCACUUGGGAUUCACAGAACUGAAAUCGUAAACCGGAACCCUAGCUGCAAGGGCAUCUGGGAUGUGAGGUUACUUUAGGAAGUUGUUGACGCAAAAGCUUGCUGGCGGACAGCACCCUCGCAUCUGGGGCAGCGUUUACAGAGCGCGGAACACUCGUGUACCUGUUAGCCCUCACCCCACGCCAGUGGCUGGCUACUGUCCUCCUCUCGCAGCGUGGAACCUGAGCUCCAGAGGGGUUAAGAGACGUGUUCAACAUCACACCACCUGACGAGAAAACGGCUCAGCCGAGGGUGUGACACGGGUGUUCUCGUCCCAGUUUGCAGACGCGGAAGCCGAGGCACAGAGAGCACCCACGCGUCCUGCCCGCGGACUCGGCAUUCGUGGGACGUCAGUAUCCAUCCGGGGAACCAGGCGGUCUGGCUUCAGAGCCCCGGCUCUUUGUGUGUGUCCUAGACCGCCUUUCCCACUGCUCGGGGCAGGGGUGGUGUCUUCUUGAAGGCAAAUUCCGAUCUCGUCGGUCGAGGGGAUGGCCCACGGUUCUGCAUUUUUUUAAACAAGCUCUCAGAUGACGCGAUGCUGACGGCCCACAGGCAGCUGCUGGGAGUGAUGACGCUCUGUGCUCCAGCUACGUGUUAUUGUUAUCUGACUGCCAGAAUUCAUUGAUUCAUCUCUGGUUGCCAAAAUCCCUUGUCCCCUCCCCCACACACUACUGGCACGCCCACUCCUAAGGGCACCCUUCUCUCCAAAUCUGUAGCUAUUCUAUGGUUGCAUUCAUUAGGACGAUGGCCCCUCACCAAAAAUGAAUAUAAUAAUCAUUUGGGGAGCUCUUUCAACAUGAACACCCACUCCUGUCAAUUGCAGACAGUCUGAUCCAGGAUAUUAGGGGUGGGGCGAGGGGUAAGAACAGAGAGAUUCCCUGCUGUUUCUGGUAUAAACCAACCUAUCCUUUCUCUUACCCUUUCAAGUCACCAGGUACCCAAGUCACCUACAUAACAACACCCAGGAAGUGGCUAGGAAAAUCAGAAUUCUCCUGGGUGGUGAAUACGCUUCCUGAAAGCUUCCUCUUCCCGAUAGCAUUAAGAUAGGUCCACUUCUCUGCCAAUCCCCCAGUGCUAGGCAUGGAUUGAUGCUCCCACUUCCUCCUCCCCUGUGCCUCAACUCUCUAACCGCAGACUUCAUUCUCCUGCCCCACAUCAGCUUAGCCAAUAGGCAUAACACUGAGCCCUUCUGGAAAGGAUCAAAAUCACUUCUGACCUGACAAGCCUAAGACUGAAGGAGCAUGGAUGGUUUUUCUCUCUCCCUUUAAGCCCUGAGCCCAGUAAUCUAGCUGUUCUGAGUCUGGGCCUCAGAAACAAGAACUCUUCAAGACGAGUCCUUUCUCUUUAAGGAUUUUCAAAGACCAGCUCCUUACAUGAUUAUGUUUUCCCCUGACUUUUUUUUCUACAGUUCCAAAGAAAGCCUCACAUUGAGGAAAACUAGAAAGGCAUGAUUCAGUGAUGUCAAAUGCUCUCAGGAUUCCUCCUUCCAAAGUCUUUGUUAAUUGUGCCCUGUAUCUAUAGUGAUAAAUUUAAAGACACACGAAGCAGCAGGAUCCCAAAGACACUAGAUGAUUGUGCUGUUCCAUUAAGUUGAAACAAUGGAGCAGAGUCUCGAGUCUAUCUCCAGGGCAACAGAAAAUGCCAGUCACCGUCAGGUGGGCUUUCUGAUGAAUCUUUUAAAAUGGACUUUCACGUACUUUUGUUAUUUUUAA